CUAAGAUUUAUAUUAUUUGGAUGAAUUAACCAUACUAAUCAUAUAUUUACACACCUUGUACCACAAGGUACACCGCCUGCAUUAAUAUCAUUUAUAGUACUAAUUGAAACAAUUAGUAAUGUUAUUCGACCAGGUACAUUAGCAGUACGGUUGGCAGCAAAUAUAAUUGCAGGACACUUAUUAUUAACCUUAUUAGGAAACACAAUACCAUCUAUAGCAAUAAACUUAAUCUCAUUACUAAUUAUUGGACAAAUACUUCUAUUAAUUCUAGAAUCAGCAGUAGCAAUAAUUCAAGCCUAUGUUUUCUCAAUUCUAAGAACUCUAUAUUCUACAGAAGUAUAUUAAACCUAUGUUAACAACUCACUCAAACCACCCAUUCCACUUAGUAGACUAUAGACCUUGACCAUUAACAGGAGCAAUUGGAGCAAUAGUCCUAGUAUCAGGACUAGCAAAAUGAUUCCACCUAUUUAAUAUUAACUUAUUCAUAAUUGGAUUUGGAAUUACCCUACUAACUAUAAUUCAAUGAUGACGAGAUGUAGUACGAGAAGGAACAUAUCAAGGAUUACAUACAGGAUUUGUAUCAAUUGGAUUACGAUGAGGAAUAAUUUUAUUUAUUGCAUCAGAGGUAUUAUUUUUCGUUUCUUUUUUUUGAGCAUUCUUUAGAAGAAGAUUAGCACCAACAAUUGAACUAGGAAUACUAUGACCUCCAAUAGGAAUUCAACCCUUUAACCCUAUACAAAUUCCAUUACUUAAUACAGCUAUUCUUUUAGCAUCAGGAGUAACAGUAACAUGAGCACAUCAUAGUUUAAUGGAAUCUAAUCAUACUCAAGCACUACAAGGAUUAUUCUUCACAGUGUUAUUAGGACUAUACUUUACAAUACUUCAAGCAUAUGAAUAUUGAGAAGCACCUUUUACCAUUGCAGAUGCAGUUUAUGGAUCAACAUUCUUUGUUGCAACAGGAUUCCAUGGUUUACACGUAAUUAUUGGAACAAUCUUUUUUAAAACAUGUCUACUUCGACACUCAAUAAAUCAAUUUUCACCAAGACAUCACUUUGGAUUUGAAGCAGCAGCAUGAUACUGACACUUCGUAGACGUAGUAUGAUUAUUCUUAUAUAUCUCUAUUUAUUGAUGAGGUAGAUAAUU
Long non-coding RNA from Schistocerca gregaria, 1143 nucleotides. RefSeq lists it as uncharacterized. The record is from RefSeq and is a predicted model, not a curated record. Lineage: Eukaryota; Metazoa; Arthropoda; Insecta; Orthoptera; Acrididae. The transcript is spliced from 2 exons.